AAGUCUUUUGCCAUCUUAAAUGAAAUAUUUUGGUCAUUUUCUUCCUUGUGUGCUAUUUUGUGACAAAAACAUAGAAAAAGUCUAUCUAGGAAAAUUGCCCUAAAAUAAAAUUCGUUUUUAAUUAUAUAUAAAUUAACUAACUGUAUUUUUAAACUAAUAAAUUAAUGAGCCAGUUAAAAACUAAUAAUAAAUUAAUGGCUUAGCUAAAACCUAAUAACACUUGAAAAAUAAACAAAAUUACCUAAAAUCAUAGAGAACAUGAUAAAUAAGAAAAUUAACUAAAUAUUUAAUAUAACAUAUAAAUUUUAUAUUAUUAAAAUAAAAUUCGUUUUUAAUUAUGUAUAAAUUCACUAAGUGUAUUUUUAAACUAAUAAAUUAGUGACUCAGUUAAAAACUAAUAAUAAAUUAAUGGCUUAGCUAAAACCUAAUAACACAUGAAAAAUAAACAAAAUUACCUAAAACUUGGAGAACAUGAUAAAUAAU
RNAcentral lists this long non-coding RNA (483 nucleotides) under Brassica napus (rape). RNAcentral's name for it is "long non-coding RNA (BNAP_LNC015372)". The record is from RNAcentral. Lineage: Eukaryota; Viridiplantae; Streptophyta; Magnoliopsida; Brassicales; Brassicaceae.